AACGGACGCUGGCGGCAGGCUUAACACAUGCAAGUCGAACGGUUGUAGCAAUACAGCAGUGCAGACGGGUGAGUAACACGUGGGAACCUUCCUAGGGGUACGGAACAACUCAGGGAAACUUGAGCUAAUACCGUAUACGUCCGUGAGGAGAAAGAUUUAUCGCCCUUAGACGGGCCCGCGUCGGAUUAGCUAGUUGGUGGGGUAACGGCCUACCAAGGCGACGAUCCGUAGCUGAUCUUAGAGGAUGAUCAGCCACACUGGGACUGAGACACGGCCCAGACUCCUACGGGAGGCAGCAGUGGGGAAUCUUGGACAAUGGGCGCAAGCCUGAUCCAGCCAUGCCGCGUGAGUGAAGAAGGUCUUCGGAUUGUAAAGCUCUUUUGCCAGGGACGAUAAUGACGGUACCUGGAGAAUAAGCCCCGGCAAACUUCGUGCCAGCCGCCGCAGUAA
This 450-nucleotide ribosomal RNA is filed under the name uncultured bacterium. RNAcentral's name for it is "partial 16S ribosomal RNA". It matches the Rfam family "Bacterial small subunit ribosomal RNA", at positions 29 to 523 of the family's 1533-position model. The record is from RNAcentral.